UACGAAGGGGGCUAGCGUUGCUCGGAAUCACUGGGCGUAAAGCGCACGUAGGCGGCUUGUUAAGUCAGGGGUGAAAUCCUGGAGCUCAACUCCAGAACUGCCUUUGAUACUGAAGAUCUUGAGUCCGGGAGAGGUGAGUGGAACUGCGAGUGUAGAGGUGAAAUUCGUAGAUAUUCGCAAGAACACCAGUGGCGAAGGCGGCUCACUGGCCCGGUACUGACGCUGAGGCACGAAAGCGUGGGGAGCAAACAGG
Molecule: ribosomal RNA, 253 nt
Filed under: uncultured bacterium
Lineage: Bacteria
Description: partial 16S ribosomal RNA
Rfam family: Bacterial small subunit ribosomal RNA
Source: RNAcentral